Molecule: non-coding RNA, 149 nt
Organism: Caenorhabditis elegans
Lineage: Eukaryota; Metazoa; Nematoda; Chromadorea; Rhabditida; Rhabditidae
Source: Ensembl
CCCGGCUGGGGGGUGUCCCGCCCCAUGGGCUUUGACCUGUCUGUCGUCUCACCAUUGAAUCGGACUGUCUCAUACUUUAGGUUAUCUGUAUUCAUUGCUGCGUCUCUUUCAAUCAAACACUCUCUCGACAUUUGGGCGUUGAUUGAAAG